This 68-nucleotide transfer RNA is filed under the name Marmota monax (woodchuck). Its description in RNAcentral is "tRNA.Ala". Lineage: Eukaryota; Metazoa; Chordata; Mammalia; Rodentia; Sciuridae. The record is from RNAcentral.
GGUUUGUGGCUCAGUGGUAGAGCACUUGCCUAGCAUGUGUGAGGCACUGGCUUCAAUUCUCAGGACCA